GCAUCAAAUCAAUGAGCAAAUGAAGAGUGCAGCCAAUUGUAAUUAGCAUUGCAAAUUGCAGAAUCCCGUGAGUCAAUUUGAUCUUGAAUGUGAUUAUGCACACGGGUAGUCCUUGUGUGUGCCCAUUUUUCAACAAAAUGUUUGCAUGCUUGUUUCCAC
This 159-nucleotide ribosomal RNA is filed under the name Ostreopsis labens. RNAcentral's name for it is "5.8S ribosomal RNA". The stretch from base 20 to 138 matches the Rfam family "5.8S ribosomal RNA", at positions 36 to 154 of the family's 154-position model. Rfam says of the family: 5.8S ribosomal RNA (5.8S rRNA) is a component of the large subunit of the eukaryotic ribosome. It is transcribed by RNA polymerase I as part of the 45S precursor that also contains 18S and 28S rRNA. Functionally, it is thought that 5.8S rRNA may be involved in ribosome translocation. The record is from RNAcentral. Lineage: Eukaryota; Dinophyceae; Peridiniales; Ostreopsidaceae.